Molecule: ribosomal RNA, 619 nt
Filed under: uncultured Bacillota bacterium
Lineage: Bacteria; Bacillati; Bacillota
Description: bacterial SSU rRNA
Source: RNAcentral
GAGUUUGAUCCUGGCUCAGGACGAACGCUGGCGGCACGCCUAACACAUGCAAGUCGAACGGAGAUAUUUUGGUUUACUGAGAUAUCUUAGUGGCGGACGGGUGAGUAACACGUGAGCAACCUGCCUCUGAGAGAGGGAUAGCUUCUGGAAACGGAUGGUAAUACCUCAUAACAUAACGAAGCCGCAUGACUUUGUUAUCAAAGAUUUAUCACUCAGAGAUGGGCUCGCGUCUGAUUAGAUAGUUGGUGAGGUAACGGCCCACCAAGUCGACGAUCAGUAGCCGGACUGAGAGGUUGAACGGCCACAUUGGGACUGAGACACGGCCCAGACUCCUACGGGAGGCAGCAGUGGGGAAUAUUGCACAAUGGGGGAAACCCUGAUGCAGCGAUGCCGCGUGGAGGAAGAAGGUUUUCGGAUUGUAAACUCCUGUCUUAAAGGACGAUAAUGACGGUACUUUAGGAGGAAGCUCCGGCUAACUACGUGCCAGCAGCCGCGGUAAUACGUAGGGAGCGAGCGUUGUCCGGGAAUUACUGGGUGUAAAGGGAGCGUAKGCGGGAUGGCAWGUCAGAUGUGAAAACUAUGGGCUCAACCCAUAGACUGCAUUUGAAACUGUUGUUCU